GUCGGGACUCACUCUCCGAAACAUCUUUGCUGCAGCCAUUUAUCAUGCACAGCAGAGAAAACAAGGUCCUCAGGGCAGGGUAUCAACAGUGUACUCAGUCCUUUACAGACGAUACUGACUAUAGGUCUUUGCUCAUGGGAAAUCAUCUAAGUAUAUGAGAACUGGAAUGUAAAGGCCAAGAGUGUUGGGGUGAUAAAGCUGCCAUAACUGUUACCAUUGUCACUUUGAUGUCUUUUUUUUCUUUAUUAUAUCAUCUGUUUAGUUGCCAAUGGGCAGGGCCCUACAGCCACUGACCUUUAGGGAAAGGUGUCUUAAAAAGAGACUUAAAGGAGGCACAAAGCCCAAAUCAGAGGAACUACCAAACAGAGUUCCAAGGCAUGGUGGAAAAAGGAAUAUAGGGACUCUCCAGAAGCACCACAGGUAGCUGAAGACAGUGGCAGUACCAGAGACUGGCUAGUGAGAUCAUGCCUACAAGGGUCCAUUGGAUAUGGGGGGACUGAAGUAGAGACUUUGGAGCAGCAGUGCCGAUGUUUAGCAUCCUACUGUAAGGUAGGGGAGAGGAUGGCAAUCCCUACAUCUCUUGAAUACCUCUGGUCCCCUGGCAAAGCUUUGCUGAAAUGACCAAGAAUUGGGUGGCAAACUAGUUCCUCAUAACCAAUAUAAUUAAUUAAAAAACCAAAGUUGCUACAUAUGAAACAUCAACAUCUAGUAUAGGGUUAUACAUUUCCAUUAGCUCUAUACUUUGUUUAGAUUAUCUUUCCACAGUAAUUAAUUUACAUUUAAUUGAACAUUUGCUGGAAAUAUAACACCCAAACUUAAUGAACACUAAUGAUACAACGGUCAUUGCAAUGUUGUGAUAUGGUGGAAUUAUAUAGUUCAAGAAAACCACUCAGUUAUAAAAGGAUUGUUUAUGAGUCUAAUUUAUCACUAAGACACACUCAUUCUACAUGACUGUAGCCCCAUCAACUUCAGAAGACGUACUCUGAGUUAACUCCUGUGUAAGUUACAAUCUGUAAGGACAAUCUGUCCCUAAAAUUACUUUGCAUCAGUCUCAAAAUACAUUUCUGAGGCACAUUAUUGUGUAUAUAUAACCAGGUAAAGACACUUCCUACAUGCACCUCCAUAUCACUUUCUUUCAUUUCCAUCACUCACUAAACAAAAGUUCAUCAUAAAACCAAUAGAUCAUCUCAUAAUAAAGCAUCAAAAUGUGAGAAAAGAAAAUGCAUUAAGAUCAAUGUUCCAAAAGUAAAAGGUAGGCAAACACUGACCAAAAUUGACUCUAAGGAGCAUUUCAAUAACCACCAUUUUUGAUCAUUUAUGCUGCCUACAAAGAGCAUCAAAUACUUAAAAUAUGAGAGAUACCA
Molecule: long non-coding RNA, 1364 nt
Organism: Alligator sinensis (Chinese alligator)
Lineage: Eukaryota; Metazoa; Chordata; Crocodylia; Alligatoridae
Exons: 3
Source: RefSeq, a predicted model, not a curated record